RNAcentral lists this long non-coding RNA (380 nucleotides) under Ananas comosus (pineapple). RNAcentral describes it as "long non-coding RNA (ACOM_LNC017545)". Lineage: Eukaryota; Viridiplantae; Streptophyta; Magnoliopsida; Poales; Bromeliaceae. The record is from RNAcentral.
AUGAAAGAGUUGAUCGAAGGGCUAAGUGAAAGCAUAAAUUUUAGGGGCAAUUGCUUAAAAACCCCUGAAAAGUUUCUGACUUUCUAAUUUACCUUUCUUAGAAGGCUAAUAUUGAAAAUACCUUUUUUACGUUCCAAUCUAUUUCAAAUAUACCCCCAGAGUUAAAAUCUGUUAAUUAACUCUGUUAUCUGUAUAAAAUUACUAUUUUGCCUUUUUCAAAUAUACCCUUAUACCAUCACCGGCUUUUUUUAUUUGUCCUUAAGUCAGGGGCACAAAAAGUAUUUUGACUUUUGGUUUCUUCAAAUAUACCUAACUACCGUCGCCAACAUUUCUUAUUUGCUCUCAAGUUAAGGGCAAAAUUGGCAUUUCAAUUCCGGAAG